CCGACACUACAGUCUACAGAGCAAUAGCGGCAACAUGGCUCCUCGUUCUGCCUUCUAGAGCAGCGGUGCAGUUGCUGCGGCCAUGCAGCUCGGCUUGCGGACAAAUGCAGUUGACUUGCACAGGCCGGUUGCUCUCUGCGACGAACCAAUUUGAUACCAUUUUUAUUUGGGUGAUUCAGCGUCAGAAGCUAACUCUUGCUUUUGCAUCUUUUCUUCCACAGCGGUUGCAGAUGUGUUGGAGCAAGAGGGCUCCUAAAACAUAGCCUGCAUCACCUCAAGUCUUCAGACACUGAAACCAGGUAUCAACAUUAAGUACACUGAUCUCUGGAAUCCUCUCUAGAAUUUACUGAUGAAAUCUUGUGUUAGUGUACAGUGUUUUGCAAUUCUCCUGGUUUGUGUUGCAAUUCUACCUGUGCAGCUCAGUUGCCUCUCCCCGUGCAGCUCGCUUGCCGCCCCCGUGCAGCUCACCUCCGCCGAGCAAACUCUUUUCGGCGAGUCCACAUCGCGUCCGCACCACAUCGUGCAAUUUGAGUGCAGUUUUUGAUUAUUUUUGGAGCAGCACAUCCAUCCAACCCAAUAAGUUCAGAGUUUGUGUGUUCAGUGCAGUACCGCAGUGCAAUGCAGUGCAGUUUCGGUUUCAGAGUCCCGUUGAAGGCCUCUUGGUGCUAUCCUCACUUAAUUUUUAUGUGAAAAUGUGUGUACAGCCUGUGUAACAGAAUUGCAAGGCCAAGUUUGUCAUAAAAAAUGAUGCUUAGAUGCGAUUCAGUGUAAAAUCCUAUGUGGUUCACUUGGUAAACAAAAAAGUGUCUGGUAUGUAAAUUUUUGAAGCUCACUUUGUAAUGUCAUGUGGCUAACCUCUCGAUAGUUUUGCGGUCCACUUACGCCCGAGGUGAAGCCCGCUGUGUAAUCUCAUGCGGCACACCUCUUGAUAGUGUUGCGAUUCACUUACGCCCGAUCCAAUAUGAAGCUCACUUUGUAAUGUCAUGUGGCUCACCUCGAUAGUUUUGCGAUCCACUUACGCUCGAGGUGAAGCUCACUUUGUAAUCUCAUGCGGGUCACCUCUUGAUAGUGUUGCAAUUCACUUACACCCUAUCCAAUAUGAAGCUCACUUUGUA
This 1115-nucleotide long non-coding RNA is filed under the name Triticum aestivum (bread wheat). RNAcentral's name for it is "long non-coding RNA (TAES_LNC010403)". The record is from RNAcentral. Lineage: Eukaryota; Viridiplantae; Streptophyta; Magnoliopsida; Poales; Poaceae.